RNAcentral lists this ribosomal RNA (249 nucleotides) under uncultured bacterium. Its description in RNAcentral is "partial small subunit ribosomal RNA". It matches the Rfam family "Bacterial small subunit ribosomal RNA", at positions 26 to 285 of the family's 1533-position model. The record is from RNAcentral.
AGAAUCAACGCUGGCGGCGUGCCUAACACAUGCAAGUCGAACGAGAAAGUGGUAGCAAUACCAUGAGUAAAGUGGCGCACGGGUGAGUAACACGUGACUAACCUACCCUUGAGUGGGGGAUAACGUGAAGGGAACCUUAGACUAAGUACCGCAUAAUACCCACGGGUCAAAGGAGCAAUUCGCUCGAGGAGGGGUCGCGGCCGAUUAGUUAGUUGGCAGGGUAAUGGCCUACCAAGACGAUGAUCGGUA